Molecule: long non-coding RNA, 943 nt
Filed under: Mytilus galloprovincialis (Mediterranean mussel)
Lineage: Eukaryota; Metazoa; Mollusca; Bivalvia; Mytilida; Mytilidae
Source: RNAcentral
UUGAUUUCAAACUAUCGCCACUUGAUGACAUUUGCAGUGUGGUGAUGUAAAGUUCCCCACUGCUAUGCUCUAGUCAUGAGGAGAACUACUACACAAUAUGAAGCUACAUUUCUUGGUUUAUUAUUUCAUAUCUAAUUUUUUUAUAUAGAAAUCGACCUCGUUACAUUGCACUACACACUUUAUAAAAUGAUAAUACAAUUGAGAAUGGAAAUGGGAAAUGUGUCAAAGAGACAACAUCCCGACCAUAGCAGAAAACAGUCAAUGGCCACCAAUGAGUCUUCAACACAGCGAUAAUAUCCCGCACCCAGAUGCGAGCUUCAAUAUCCCAAACAACUCAAAUUUUAUUUUAUUUCUUUGUGUUCUGUGUAUUUUCUCUGAUAACUCUGACUUAAUUAUUCUUUCUCGCAUGCCUUACUCAUUGGAAAGUGGGUCUCAUUGGGGUCUAAGCGUGACGCGGGAUUGCCGAUUUUUCGUAAACGUGAUACGUAAAAGUCAAAUUAUUGUGCCCGUGAAAACGAGAAAUGAGGUCUUGCGGGACAUGGGAAAUUACAAAAAAAUCAGAAUUGCUUACGUACAUAGUGUUAGCGGGAUACUGGAAUCUGACAAAACACUAAGCGGGAUCAGGGAUCCGAACCCCCCAAUGAAACACCCUGGAAAACAUAAUCAUAGCUUAGCAAUUUCUUUGAAGUCUUUUCUUUAAAAUAUAACGUAAAGAUAAGGUAAAGAGUAAAUUGAGACUGUAGAUAAAUAAAUAUAUAUAUAAGACAAAGGAAAGAACUGACAACACCAAAAGAAAAGGAAAUAACAGACAACAACAAAAGACAAAAGAAAGAACUGACAACACCAAAAGACAAGGGAAAGAACUGACAACACCAAAAGACAAAUGAAAGAACUGACAACAACAAAAGACAAAUGAAAGAACUGACACAACAAAAGAACAAAA